Molecule: ribosomal RNA, 570 nt
Filed under: uncultured organism
Description: bacterial SSU rRNA
Rfam family: Bacterial small subunit ribosomal RNA
Source: RNAcentral
UUAGAGUUUGAUCCUGGCUCAGGAUGAACGCUAGCGGGAGGCUUAAUACAUGCAAGUCGAACGGUAACAGUGGAGAACUUCGGUGAUCCAGCUGACGAGUGGCGCACGGGUGAGUAACGCGUACGCAACCUGCCUUCAAGAGCGGGAUAGCCCCGGGAAACUGGGAUUAAUACCGCAUAGCAUUAACGAUUCACCUGGAUUGUUAAUUAAAGCUAAGGCGCUUGAAGAUGGGCGUGCGUGCUAUUAGCUAGUUGGUGAGGUAACGGCUCACCAAGGCGACGAUAGCUAGGGGGCGUGAGAGCGUGACCCCCCACACGGGUACUGAGACACGGACCCGACUCCUACGGGAGGCAGCAGUAAGGAAUAUUGGGCAAUGGAGGCAACUCUGACCCAGCUAUCCCGCGUGCAGGAUGACGGCCCUACGGGUUGUAAACUGCUUUUACAUGGGAAGAAACGGACCUAUUGAUAGGUUUUUGACGGUACCAUGAGAAUAAGCACCGGCUAACUCCGUGCCAGCAGCCGCGGUAAUACGGAGGGUGGCAAGCGUUAUCCGGAAUCACUGGGGUUUAA